GAUCUGUCGGUGGGAGAGAAUAAAUCUUGAUAUAUGUGUGUGGUAACGACAUUGUUCUCCAAUGGAAUUGUUCGUGUGGAGCCAUUAAGUUGAUCAAUGCGCAGUGUUGUUGAUGGUAGCUUUGGGAGAGAAUGAGAGAGUUGUGGAGGGUUAGGGAGACGAAUAGAAGCGUUGAUUUUUGUUAGAGAAGAAGAGAGGAGAUGUGUGGUCUGUAAAGAAGCCAUGGGAUGUGUGUUGAUGAGAUUGAGUUUGGAGAUGUUGAAGAUGUUGGAGAUUGGAGAUGUUAGAGAUGUUGGAGAUGUUAGAGACGAGAAUGAGAAUAAUGAGAGAUAGGGGUAGGGUUGGCGUAUAUAUAUAGAGUGACAGAGAGAGACAUAUUCAAAGGAAGAAGUGACGGGUAUAAGGAAAAGUUUGACUAAUAUAUUAAGAGAGAAAAAGGCAGAAGAUUAGACUUGGCCUUGGCCUUGGCGUGAUGGCGGACUCUUUCAGCUAUCAGAUUUUGGUGAGUUCUGAAAUUUCAACCCUUUAAUGUGAGACGCAGUAAAGCCAUCAAUAUCAUAAUGUCAAAUCUAUAACUGUUAUAUUCAACUGCAACAUAAAGUCAGUUAUUUGUUAUUUGAUGAUUUCAAUAAUUAGUUUCAGGUGUAUUUAAUUACAUGUUUAUUGUCUUAAUAGAGCUAUAGGAAAAACACACUGGCUUGAUGAGC
RNAcentral lists this long non-coding RNA (707 nucleotides) under Vigna radiata. Its description in RNAcentral is "long non-coding RNA (VRAD_LNC007558)". Lineage: Eukaryota; Viridiplantae; Streptophyta; Magnoliopsida; Fabales; Fabaceae. The record is from RNAcentral.